RNAcentral lists this ribosomal RNA (170 nucleotides) under uncultured rumen bacterium. Its description in RNAcentral is "partial 16S ribosomal RNA". It matches the Rfam family "Bacterial small subunit ribosomal RNA", at positions 340 to 524 of the family's 1533-position model. The record is from RNAcentral.
UACGGGAGGCAGCAGUGGGGAAUAUUGGGCAACGGGCGAAGGCCUGACCCAGCGACGCCGCGUGAGGGAAGAAGGUCUUCGGAUUGUAAACCUCUUUCAGCAGGGAAGAAGGAAGUGACGGUACCUGCAGAAGAAGCCACGGCUAACUACGUGCCAGCAGCCGCGGUAAU